Molecule: long non-coding RNA, 1152 nt
Organism: Homo sapiens (human)
Lineage: Eukaryota; Metazoa; Chordata; Mammalia; Primates; Hominidae
Product: long intergenic non-protein coding RNA 507
Source: Ensembl
AGCACAUCAGCUCCUGGAAACAAAUGCACUUAACCAGAAAAACAGGGACAUCAACCAGCAAAGAUGCAUCCUCAUUUAAUAGAGCUUGAAAUUACUAUAAUCUGUAAAGUACAGCGAGAAGAAGAAGUUUCACCUGCCUGCACAUCUGUCGUUGACUCUCCAUCUGACUUGGAGGGACUCUGAGGGACCAACCUGAGCCUGAGAAGAGGCAAGAUUCCCCUUCAAGGACACACUGGGAACUUACGGACCUCUUUCUCCAUGGUGCAGAGCGCAGAGAAGACAGCAGGAAUCUCAUCUCUCCUUCUGCAUUCCAUUUGAGACAAGAUGUUUGAAUUGAAGCAAAUAAGAAACAUACAAAAAAAUGACAUAAGUAAAGAAGCUAUGGCCUCACCCCGAUAUGUUGCUGGCAGGAGAGACAACAGCAAACACAGGAAACUCAAGGAAAAUCAGUGUGGCUAGAGACAGAUGCUGAACUGGAGCCUGGAAUGAGUUGAGGCUGGAGAGGGAGGUAGGGCAAGACUCAGGCUGUGGCUGGGCUGAGUGGCUUUGUCUAUUCUCCAAGAGCAAAGGGAAGAACAUGGUCCCAUGACAGCACACUCUGGGAAAAUGAGACUUCUGAAUUGGGGACCUUGAAACAGGAGGGCCCACAUUACCAGCCGUGUAGGAAGCAUCUGUUCAGCAGCAGAAUGCGAAGAGGAUGGUGGGGGGCACUGCCUCCCUGUGUAACCAUAAUGGGUCCCUUACCCAAAAUAUGCAGCAAAUCAACACCUGGAGGCACGGGGUUGCAGCAGAGAAAGAGCUUUAAUCGUAAGGCCACCGAAGGAGGACAUGGGAGGAAACCUCAAAUCCAUCUCCGCCAGGAAUUCGGGGCUAAGGUGAACAAACAGACGCAUAAUAGCUCUUGAGCUUGCCAUUGGGAAGUGAAAAUCAACUGCUUGAAUAAAUGUAAGGACUCAGUCUCAGCGAAUUGGUUUUGUCUGUGCAAUGGGCAGGAAGAACGUGUCUGGUGAGCAUCUCCACACAUUCAGAAAUUGUCCAUCUAAGACAAUGGAGUUAUUUUCACCCUCAACAAAUGCCUCAACUCUGUGACAUUUUAAGCAAAUCUUAACUUUGACUUAUGAAUUCAAGAAGGAAAAAAAAAAAGUAAGAAAA